GAUGAACGCUGGCGGCGUGCCUAAUACAUGCAAGUCGAGCGAACGGACGAGAAGCUUGCUUCUCUGAUGUUAGCGGCGGACGGGUGAGUAACACGUGGAUAACCUACCUAUAAGACUGGGAUAACUUCGGGAAACCGGAGCUAAUACCGGAUAAUAUUUUGAACCGCAUGAUUCAAAAGUGAAAGACGGUCUUGCUGUCACUUAUAGAUGGAUCCGCGCUGCAUUAGCUAGUUGGUAAGGUAACGGCCUACCAAGGCAACGAUGCAUAGCCGACCUGAGAGGGUGAUCGGCCACACUGGAACUGAGACACGGUCCAGACUCCUACGGGAGGCAGCAGUAGGGAAUCUUCCGCAAUGGGCGAAAGCCUGACGGAGCAACGCCGCGUGAGUGAUGAAGGUCUUCGGAUCGUAAAACUCUGUUAUUAGGGAAGAACAUAUGUGUAAGUAACUGUGCACAUCUUGACGGUACCUAAUCAGAAAGCCACGGCUAACUACGUG
This 497-nucleotide ribosomal RNA is filed under the name uncultured bacterium. RNAcentral describes it as "partial 16S ribosomal RNA". It matches the Rfam family "Bacterial small subunit ribosomal RNA", at positions 28 to 507 of the family's 1533-position model. The record is from RNAcentral.